Molecule: long non-coding RNA, 308 nt
Filed under: Trifolium pratense (red clover)
Lineage: Eukaryota; Viridiplantae; Streptophyta; Magnoliopsida; Fabales; Fabaceae
Description: long non-coding RNA (TPRA_LNC010576)
Source: RNAcentral
UCAAAGACUGUGGAGGGUUGAUGACUUUUGGCCUCUUUUUGAUGUGGUUUAGCUUCAAAAAACCUGAAAGGGUAUGGUUCUGUUUACAUGUAAGGGUCUGGUUACGGACGUAUUGGACUCAUCCCUCGAACUGAGUUCUUACGCGUUUAUUUGAAUCCCGUUGUGUUUGGUGAUCUGGCUACUUCGAGACUCUAGUGUUCCAGGUUUGUGAGAUUUGCGGGUUUCAAGUCGUCUUGUCCGCCUACUAUUUGGUAUUUGUGGCUCGAAAGAGUAUUUAUGCUUGCUGCGUUGGUCAGGGAGCUGUCGGC